UGUGGUUCCAAGAAGAAGACACAAGUUUUGGCUUGCUAUCAAGGUUUUUCAUUGUGUUUACGAGGAAGAUUGUGCAUGCAUCCAAGAAAAACCACAAGUCCAUUUCUUGUAACCACAAAGAUACUUCAAUGAUGUGUGGGUUUGUGCAACUGUGUGGUGGUGACUUAGAGAAUAAAGCUCUGGAUAUGAAAACAUCUGCCUGGUUUCUGCCGGACUGCCUGUAGUGGGUCAGACCAAAGUACAGCUAGCGUUAAGUCAUUAGCUGGUGAGGGUUCAGAAGCCAACCGCUCAGAUGGCUCCAGCUGGACGUUUUUAUACCCGGUUACUCGUUAACAAGGAUUUCUGGGAUCGUACACUCCCAAUUAUUGUGCAUGAACUUAAACUGACGUUUUCUGGUGUCUGAACUGCAUGACACUUGCACUUGGAAAGAGGAGACAUCAUAGCGUCACGUCAAUACACACCCAACCAACUAGCUAGUACCACUUACGUUGGGGCGGGAAUAUUUGAAUUGCAGUGUCAGUUAGCUAGAGAGAUCCCUAGAUCCGUAGACACCUCCGUAGAGAUCCACUCACUGCCUGUCCGCAACAUUAGCUGUGAUUUCAAUGAGAAGACUUCAAGACUUUCAACAAAGUCGACAUCGAAGGACUUCAAAAGAACCAUGGUCUAGGCACAAUUUACACAUCUCCUCUGCUACCUCCCAGGGAGGAGGAAUACCCUGAACUCCUCGUUCUCACAGGACUCGGGCUAGUACGCUGUUGCCAGGUCAGUCUUGGGGGUGACCCGGCUGAGACAUGUUGGAUACAACACUGGGUCGUUGACCAGCACUGCUGUCUCUUCCUCAGCCGGGGCAUGCAAAGCUCCCUGUUACCCAGAGGACCCCCAUGUACCUCCUCAGCUAUCACAUGGGUCGCCCACGUACCCCCCUACUGCCCCCUUAAUGAGCCCCAGGUCUACCCCACAUAUGCGAUACCACCCCCUUCACUCCAGGACGAGCAGCCCCCUCUGGCAGACCGGUACAGAGAGAAGGACAAGGACAGAGCGGGACAGGGAUUUGCACCACUCAGAGUGAGAGUGAGGGGAGAGGGGCUACAGAUGGGACAGCCUGGGCUCCAGAGAUGACCGCAGACACCGUAACCACCACUCACACAACCGUAGCAGCAGAGCAGCCAUGACAGCAGGAACAGAAACAGCGACUACUCCAACAGCUCCGAUCCCACCACACCCCUCUGCUUCCCCCACUGCACCCUCCCUCCCUCCUGCUGCCUCUGUGAUAGCCCAGGACUGUGGCCAGGAUGGCCCGGCCAAGCCCAAACGCCAUGUGUAUCUAGGGCUGUGCGAUGUGGCCAAAAUAUCAUAUAACUGUAUUUUUGAUGGCAUGUUGGUUUUUGAUGUUUCUGAAUACUAAUAAAGUUCUAAAUAUGCUUUA
Oncorhynchus tshawytscha (Chinook salmon) is the source of this 1426-nucleotide long non-coding RNA. RefSeq lists it as uncharacterized. The transcript is spliced from 4 exons. The record is from RefSeq and is a predicted model, not a curated record. NCBI's taxonomy places the organism in Eukaryota, Metazoa, Chordata, Actinopteri, Salmoniformes, Salmonidae.